This 72-nucleotide transfer RNA is filed under the name Acanthodactylus aureus. RNAcentral describes it as "tRNA-Ile". The record is from RNAcentral. Lineage: Eukaryota; Metazoa; Chordata; Lepidosauria; Squamata; Lacertidae.
GGAAGUGUGCCUGAACAUUAAAGGAUUACUUUGAUAGAGUAAAAUAUAGGGAAUAAUAACCCCUCACCUCCU